CCUACGGGAGGCUGCAGUGGGGAAUAUUGCACAAUGGGCGCAAGCCUGAUGCAGCCAUGCCGCGUGUGUGAAGAAGGCCUUCGGGUUGUAAAGCACUUUCAGCGGGGAGGAAGGCGUUAAGGUUAAUAACCUUGGCGAUUGACGUUACCCGCAGAAGAAGCACCGGCUAACCCCGUGCCAGCAGCCGCGGUAAUACGGAGGGUGCAAGCGUUAAUCGGAAUUACUGGGCGUAAAGCGCACGCAGGCGGUCUGUCAAGUCGGAUGUGAAAUCCCCGGGCUCAACCUGGGAACUGCAUUCGAAACUGGCAGGCUAGAGUCUUGUAGAGGGGGGUAGAAUUCCAGGUGUAGCGGUGAAAUGCGUAGAGAUCUGGAGGAAUACCGGUGGCGAAGGCGGCCCCCUGGACAAAGACUGACGCUCAGGUGCGAAAGCGUGGGGAGCAAACAGGAUUAAUACCCGGGUAGUC
Molecule: ribosomal RNA, 464 nt
Filed under: uncultured Klebsiella sp.
Lineage: Bacteria; Pseudomonadati; Pseudomonadota; Gammaproteobacteria; Enterobacterales; Enterobacteriaceae
Description: bacterial SSU rRNA
Rfam family: Bacterial small subunit ribosomal RNA
Source: RNAcentral